Molecule: long non-coding RNA, 756 nt
Filed under: Vulpes vulpes (red fox)
Lineage: Eukaryota; Metazoa; Chordata; Mammalia; Carnivora; Canidae
Description: lncRNA (ENSVVUG00000018335.1)
Source: RNAcentral
GUACCCUGGUAGGGACAGGAGAAAGCCAGCCAACCCCCAGGACAAGUCAAGGACCUGGUGCGAGAUUACCCAGCUGGAAGACACUGAGCCUGGAGGAUGAGAACUCUGGUCCGUCAAGGAAUGGAGUCCAGGUCGGUCUCUGUGCUAGCUCUCAAGAUGCCCAGGUGAGAAGACGCGGACUCUGCCCUCAAGUUGUUCCCAGCUGAGAGAAAAGGGAGAAGCCAACACUCAGGAUGUGCUGGGAUGGAGCUGGCUGUGGAGUGGGGAGAAGACACUUUGAAAGUUCCUCACAGACCUGUCUAUUGAUGUUCUUGGUUCCACUCUUCAGAUCUCAGCCAGUAAUCAAUCAGGAGUCCCCACUGACACUGGUGCUGCACAUUGAGGCCCUAGCCACUGGGCACACACAUGCCGUACUAUAUAAUUCUGUACCACAGAACAGCCGAGGGCAUAUUAGAGCAGAAAGAGACCUCUGCAGUCAUCUGGUCCACCACUGUCUCUCAAUCCACGAGGAUCUUGAAGGCCAGAGGUGUGAGGUGACAUAUCCAGCAGGAGCCUACCUGGAGUGGGUGCAAGAACCAGAAUCGGCAUGUGAAUUUCCUGCUCCCAGGUCAAUUCUCUAUCUUCCUUGACUACUACCUCUCAGGCAUCCACAGCCACAUUAAGGAAGGGGAGAUAGGAAGGGGUGAGAGAGAAGAGAUGAGGCACAGAUUCUGAUAAGACAAUAAAUCAUCUGACUGCAAAUUCUAACUGGAUUUG